This is a long non-coding RNA of Mauremys mutica (yellowpond turtle), 3293 nucleotides long. RefSeq lists it as uncharacterized. The transcript is spliced from 3 exons. The record is from RefSeq and is a predicted model, not a curated record. Lineage: Eukaryota; Metazoa; Chordata; Testudines; Geoemydidae.
CGGAAUGGUGGGGAAAGGGAGACCAGGGAGCCAGGAGAGGGUGGUCAACAGGAAAGUGGUAUAUUUACCAGCACAAAGGAAACAAGGCCUGAAAUGAUAUAGUACCAGCAGAACUGCUCCUGUUGGUGGAUUGUUACAUUGCCCCAAGAAAUGGCUGCAGAAUGGAGUCAUGACUUCCGAUUAGACCACAAAAGGAAGUCAUCCAAAGGUGUAAAUUUCAGCGAUACAGGAACCUCAAAGGGCAGUAACUCCUAUACAAGUGUCAUGUUUCUGAUUUUCCUUGGGUUGACUGGAUAAUCAGUAGGUCUUCGAGGUGAUACUCUGUUCUGAUGCACCUUAUAAGGUACCUGUGGAUAAUUAACAAACAAUUAUGUAUUAGAUUAUAUCCGAAUGAAAUCCAUGCAGUGUCCCACUCCAAACCCAAGUAUAAAGUAAAACAGCAUCGGGAAGAAAGAAUACACUUAUGUAUGUUUCACAUGUGACACACUGAUUGUAGGACUGACAAUUCUGGCAUUUGUUAAUUAAUCAUUUGCAGUCUGAGAGCUGCUAGUACACCCUUGUAAUCUGUACCCCUUUCAGCAAAAAAUGAUUGAAAUACCUCUUCUCUUAUCUUUUUUACUGAAGCUAUUCAACAAGCUGAAAUAAAAGUAGGACUUCUGGCAUUGUUCUCUUAAUACUAAAAUUAAAAAUAUUAAACAUGCCAACCAAAGGGAAGCAAUAUUUUAGAAGUAGAUCACCUGACUUUGCAGUGUUGAUUUAGGGUGGGAUUUUCAAAAGGCAUUGGCCUACCUCUGCUCCCAUCGUAGGCAAUGGGAAUUUUACAAUUGAUCACAGUGGGGCCAGAGUUAGGUCUGUGCUGAGCGCUUUUGGAAAUCCUCCCCUAGAAGAUUUGUGGUUAGUAUAACAGACUUCCAUUCUUAAUUACGUAUGAGUCUGUGCAAAUAUCAUAUGAAAGAGAAAAGACGAGGUAGAAUAAGACUCAAAAUCCUCAGCUACUGCAACCAAGACAUAUGUACUUCAGAUUGUUAAACCUCAAAAAAAUACAGAGGUUUAAGAAAAUAGUUACGUAUUAAGGAGCUCCAAAGACAAGAAAUUACUGCAAAAUUAUAAUUGUGCAACUUCACAAAUGUAGUUUCACAAUUGUAAACUAUCAGGGAAUUAUAGCCAAUGACCCAGGUCCUCGACUAUGGCUGAGGAGCAUACAGUGCAAAUCAGGACAGGUGGAACAAAAAAAAGUUGGCUUUGGGCUCCCCAAACCCUGGACAAUCUGUGUGCCAGUAUAGUCCCCGGUUGACUAGCAAUGAUUGACUCAUAAUAGGUCUGACCAUAAGUCCACUGAAGUCAAUGGGAGUCUCUCCAUUCACUUCAGUGGGGCUUUGGAUCAUACCCAAGAUGAGGAAACUGGAUCUCAGCUACUGAAUAGUCUUCCUGUGGUUUGCUUGAGUCUAAAGUGUAAGUGCAUGAAAUCUAUGUUCUUUUGGUAUUCUGCCUGUAUUUAACAUCUUAAAUAAUGCAUCUGGUACAUAUGAAUUAUUUAAUAGGUCAUAGAAGGAAAUGUUAGAUAACAAAUGUGGACAAUAUUGCUCCAGUAUAUAGCUUUGGAUUUAAUGGCUCCCAGCACCUCAAAGAAAACCACAGGAUAAAUAUAAUUAUUCCAGGAACAUGUCAUAAGUUUCAAACAUGAGUCUGUUUCUUUUUUCUUCUGCAUCACUGAAACAUACAUUAGUUGCCAAAUUUACCCACGUUUAUUAACUAUUUAUUUCAAUGGAGAGUGAGUAGUGCUUUCAGAAGUGACUAGGUGGCCCAUCUCUGCUCCAGAGACCCUUUCAGGGACCUUUUUGCUGGUCCCUGCUGAUCUUAGCCUCUUGCAAUUUAGCAACAGUCUGAGGACUUUGUCUAUCUCCCUCAGCAGAGUCAUUGCUCACUUGUAAUUUCCAGAGCACAGAGGAUCUUUCCUUUGGUCUGUGGUACCUAUGAGAAGAAUAGCUGAUAGCAAUUGUUCAGGUUAUGGCCAAACAAUAUUGGGCAUUUCUUGAUACUUCAGUUAUAGGUAUGGUCAUUAUGUCAGACCAUCUGAGACAAGUCACGUAAAUAAAAGUGCAGGAUCGCUAUCUGCAGAAAAAUUUACAGAUUUAUAAAAGAAAUGGUGCAGAUAUAGCUGAAAAAAUUGGAAGGCAAAUGUUAUGUUUGCAGAACGCAGCCACCUGCUUCUCAGAUAUUCUGGGCUGCCCAUCUAAUAUAAAUCAUAUUGAAAAGAUUAAACUUAUAGUGGGGAGGUUCAGUUUGUUUGUUUGUUGCACGUAAUAACCAUGAAGUCUCAAAUAGAGACAGAACAGAAUUGCAUAGUUCAAAACUGGCUCUGAACUUUCCCAACAUAUGGAAUUUCUUAAAAGCUGAUGUUUAGCAAAGUGUAGACCCGUGACAUUUCCGUAGUUUUGUUGCACCAAAAUAUUUCAAUGUGUUUGACUUUAUUAAAAAAGUCAAUUGCACAAAACAUUACUGUAGUAUUAUUGUAAGAUAUAGGGUUUGGGACCAUUAUUAGUGUAAGGGAAAAUUGAGUAGGCCCAAACUUUGACCAAGAUAACUUUGAUUAAAAUAACUGUGUACAAGGGGCAGGAGAGAGAGAAUGAAAAAUGCCAGUCUUGCGAAAUGUAACUGUAAUCGCUAGAAGCCUUAACCGCAAAAGUACAACCUGAUAAUAAACAGGAAAGCUUGUUGCUUUUGUAUUCCUAAUAAGGAGCUGUUUUUCUGUUUAAAAGGAUAUUAUGAAUGAAAAGUGUGUUUGACUAAAUAUGGUUUUAAGCUAUAUAAGCUUCUGUGUUCCUUUGUUAAACAGACCAGCUAGGCUGGCUGUGUCUCCCUGCAUGCUUGUAAUAAAAGAGCCUCAGGCUGUUCUGAUCCAAACACAAUGUGUGGUAAUUUUUCCACAUCAUUAGACAAUGCCAUAGUAGAGUCAGUUUUUGCUGGUGGUGGUGGCUGUUUUAUUAAGGGUGAACUGACAGAGGCAGUCUUGAAUAAUGUUAUGGCCAGAUUGCCCUGGUACUAGGGCUCGUAGAUAGGGAAGGGGAAGGGGAGUCUUCUAUUGCCUUGGAAAUCCCAUCCAAAGGUAUGGACAAUUGCAGUUCCUCCCUCUCCACCCAGAAAAGGCUGGGGCAGUAUGUGCACUCCCACUGCAGGCACUAUAGAAAGGGAUUAUGCCCCUAAAAGCACAAUGGGCCUGCUUCACUAUUGCCCUGCAUCUUGUGUAUACAUUUACACCAGUUCCAAGUGAAUGAAAAGUGCGUGUAAAAGGC